This is an RNA transcript of Physcomitrium patens, 4900 nucleotides long. It is a transcript of the gene named ABC transporter B family member 25, with no coding region annotated. The record is from RefSeq and is a predicted model, not a curated record. Lineage: Eukaryota; Viridiplantae; Streptophyta; Bryopsida; Funariales; Funariaceae.
UUUGUUUCCUCUGUUUAUUUUUGUUCCUUUUUCGCUAGGUUGCGCGACGGGGCCUCUCUCUCCCUCGCUGUGUGUGAGAGUUCGUCCACUCUACCACCCGUUGUGCCGUCCUGCGAUCGUUUCCAUGGUUUCGGUGUUGGUUUGUGUGGUUAUCUAGCUUGCUUUGCGCGACGUCGCGUGGUGAAGGGCACGAGUAUUGCGUCGUAUUUGUUGCGUCUGUGGUGGGAGGCACAGGGGCUUUCUUCGUUAUCCUUGAAGGGACCUUUGAGUUGUGGUGGCGAUGACGGUGGCGAUUAAUUUGUUUGUGGGAUCAAUGUGUUUAGUAAUUCUGGUUGCUGCGUCGUUGGGAAGCAGGAAUUGGCGGUAGAUGACAAUUGCGAUCGCGCGUCAAAGAGAGAGAGUGUGUGUGAGAGAGAGAGAGAGAGAGAGAGAGAGAGAGAUGUAUUUGAACAAUUUUUUCGUGUGCUGGUUUCUGUGUUCGUCUUUGUCGUGCAUUUCAGGCCGUCGGUCUUUGAAGAGCUGUUAGGAUCUGAACGUCAUUACCAUGAUCGUUGUCUAGCAGCGAAUUGAUGGGCCAUUCUCACGGCGGAGGCUUUCAUGUAUCUGCUCUAAGUGUGAAAGUACUGACGGUUACACGUCCAAGUUUUGUCAUCGAGAUUGCAUUUGUGGAGAAUUGCUGCGCGGAGCCGUACGUCUCGCAGGUCCUCGCUAUUCCUUUUUGACAGCGUCUCAUGUGCUUCUACGUCUUUUAAAUGUUGGACCAAGCCUUUUGACAGAUCUGGUGUGAGUCGAAGGGCUCAAUUUGGAAUCAAUUCUCUCUCGAACGAGACAGAAGACGCAUCGAACAAGCAUUUACUCCUUUUGCCGAUCUCACCCUCUUGGCUCAAAGGAACUAGUCCUCCGUGCGGAUUACAUUUUUCUGCCGAUAAAAUCUAUCAAUCGAGUGUCACUUUUCAGCGUCAAGGCUGCUAUCGCCACCGUUGCUGGCCCUACUUCAUUUUCAGAGUUUGCAAGAGUUCAAAUUAUUUCUUGGUCGUGACUCGCAUUAUACUGGAUGGGGAAGAAGAGCGGAUAUAACCCAGAGACACCUGUGUUUCUGGGCACAACUAAUGUCAACCUUGCACGAAAGCAACGAGCAUGGCGUCUCGCACUUUUUAUUGUUACCUUCUGCAUCGACAUCGUGGCCUCUCUGAUGUUAUUCACUAUUGUGCAUCUCUGGAGUGAUAAGAGUGAUUUUCCGAUUUGGAGUUCGCUGAAAGACUUUUACAGGGACACGUCAGAUUUGAUUGUGCUUUGCGUUAUAAGAAUCUUAUGUCUUGCUGGUUUGGCACAUGUGGGAAGUCUUUUGGCUAUGAGUGAGGCUGUUGCUAAAGAGGAACUGAAGUUUAAGCCAAAACCAAAAAGGGAUGAUCACCUGAAAGGUUUGGUUCAAGUCAAUGGAAAAGUUCGAAAUGGUGAAGCAAUUGGUAGCAUUAGAGAGCCUCUUCUCACGAAAACGGAACCCAAGUUGGAGGUUAAGUCAAUUACCGCAUACGAAGAGUGGUUUUCAGGAUCAUCUAAGAAAGACAUUGUUCUCUUUGCGACUUUUCUAAUCUGCACUGCAUUUCAGGCAUAUGUAGGAGCGAAGUGCGUGAGUUUCUAUUUUGAUGUGGAACACUCUCUAUUCAACGUCCGGGUUGAAGUAUUGCAGAGUGUUUUGAUGAGCACAACUGUUGUGUGGAUCAAUGCAGAAAGUUCUCUGUUGUCAAGGGUUGUGGAUGCCAACCGUGUUCUGGCACGUGCUAUGUUCUUGAAUUCUAAGCGUAGUCGACCGGACUCACAUGAUUCUCGUGUUUCCGUGAUCACAAACAGCGUGAACCUUGCGAAUGGAGAUCCCACCGAGGAAGGCACCUUGAAGGGCGAUAAAGGCUUGAAAAACGAGACAGAGAUUGAUCAGAACAGCUACUUAUUGCGUGCCAUCAGAUUGGCCAAAAAUGAAGCUUGUUUACUGGCAUGCGCUCUCUUAUGUCUUGGUCUUUCUUCUCUAUCAAGUUUGAUACUACCAAGCUAUCAGGGCCGUAUCCUGGAUCAUGUGAUUCAGAGGGAUGUAUCACUGUUCAAGAGGGAUGUUCUGUUGCUGAUUGCCUUUAGCUUAAUGACAGGAUUGUUUGAGGCUGUGCGAAACCUUUGUUUUGCUGUAGUAGGGAAACGUGUCUUAAAGACUCUGCAAGACAAGCUCUUCAUGGGCAUUGUCAUUCAAGACAUUGCUUAUUUUGAUGGUACUACAUCUGGCGAGCUCACAUCUAGGCUUACAAAUGAUGUCUCCUCAAUGGCGGAGCCAGUGAAUUGGAUGCUAUCCGCUCUUUUGCGCAAUUGUCUCUCUCUCGUGGGUGGUUUCACAAUGUGCUUUAUGAUAAGUUGGAAGCUGAGUAUGCUGGCUUUUACAACAAUGGCUCCAAUUAUGCAUAUUACAGCGGUUUAUUCAAGGUGGUCUCGGGAACUCAAUCGCAAGCGUUAUGCAUUGCUUGCUGAGGCAAAUUCAGCCGCCUCUGAAGCUAUUGGGAACAUUCGUACAGUGAGGGCAUUUUCCACUGAAGAUACGGAACUAGAUCGUUUUAAAUCCAAAACCUAUGGUGCUAUGCAGAAAGGUGUUAGGGAUGCUUAUGCUUAUGCAGGGGCUGUUGCUGUUAACGAUUGGUUGGAUUUAGGCGCAUCAGUCUUAAUCCUUUGGUACGGAGGAGUGCUCGUGAUGAAUGAUCGACUGUCUGCGGGAAAAUUGAUCACGUUUCAAUUGUAUUGGAAUCAAAUUCAAAGUGCAUAUCAGAGCAUUAUGUCAGUAUUGAUGUCCUUGACCAGAGCCGCAGGUGCUGCACAGCGUGUGCUGUCGUUGGUGGAUGCUCUCCCAGAUAUUGAUCGGAAUUCGGGCACUCAGAUUUCCAAGUUGGAUGGAGAGAUUAAGCUUGAGAAUUUGUACUUCUGCUAUCAAAUGCGUCCACAACAUCCUGUCCUGCAGGGUGUUGAUCUCACAGUUGGCAAAGGAGACGUGUGUGCGCUGGUUGGACGAAGUGGCGGUGGAAAGUCGACCAUUGUUCAUCUCCUUAUGCGAUUUUACGAUCCCACUGCAGGGCGAAUUCUUUUGGAUGGCUGGGAUUUGAGGGAUCUAAAUCUUAAAUCUGUUCACCAGCACAUGGGAUUGGUAGCACAAGAGACACAAAUGUUCGCUUGUUCAAUUCUAGAAAAUAUCACCUAUGGAUUGUCAAGUUGGCGGCAAGAAGAUUUGGAGGAGGCUGCAAAGUAUGCGAAUGCUCAUGACUUCAUUAUGAAAUUUCCCGAGGGCUAUGCGACAAGAGUUGGGGAGAGAGGAGUUAGACUGUCUGGGGGUCAACGACAGCGCAUUGCAAUUGCACGAAUGUUGCUACGGCGACCUAAAGUUUUGCUAUUGGAUGAAGCGACAAGUUCUCUGGACACUGAGAGUGAAGCAUUGGUGCAACAAGCACUAGAUCGGCUUAUUGGGGAGGGAGGGCGAACUAUCGUUUUAGUCGCACAUCGACUUUCGACCGUGCGGAACGCUGAUAACAUUGCAGUAUUGGACAAAGGUCGUCUUGUUGAACAGGGGACUCACGAGGAACUCCUGAUGCAGAAGAGUGGAGUUUAUGAGAAGCUUGUGAGGAGGCAGUUGCAUAAAGUAAGCAAUCGCAUUAUGGAGGAUCCUGAGGAGCUUGACACAGCUGCUGAUACAAUCGACGCGCUAAUCGAUGAGACUUCGAAUGGAAAACUGUAGAUUUUACAGCUUUCCGCACAUCUUGCACUAUAUCUGAUUUCCAGUUGUCACCCUCUGCAAGGAUUUAGAGGAAACUAUCUCCUUAACUCGAAGAGCAGCUCUCACACAUAGCAUUGCUAAAUUUUACCGGCAAGAGCACGUGCUGCAGAGCUUUACCACGCCAAUGUGACGCUACAUGGAGAAGUAGGUGCAGAUUACAGACUGGCUCCCCCACGAGCUCGAUUUCGGCUCAAUUUGCCUGUUAUCACCAACCUGGAAAACAUUUUCCGCCCUAUCGAAGAGGCUACCAGUGUACUCGUCAAUUUUAGCAGCACAUAUUGGAUGUUUUCAUCUGGUUGUGCCUUGCAGCGCCCGGAGAGAAAUUGGAGAAUGGGCUGAAACUCCAUAUUUUUUUAGAAUUAUUGGGUAGAGUAUUGUUCUAUGUGGGUUACUGCCUCUCAAUUACUUUAGAUAGGCAAUUUUUUGGAAACGAGUUUUGUCUUAAGGUCAUAGGUUCUUUACAAUUUUGAAUUUUCUUAAGUUUAAGUUUCCAAUUUGGAUUUGGUAAUUUGGGCAUUUCAAGAGUUGAUCUGUAAUUAAAAGCCGGCUUGUCCCAGAUAUUGGCGCCCAGUCACUCUACAAGGGAUGUAAGGCGCAAUCAUUAGGACCAGAAAUACUCAAAGCAGCGUUCCCAUCUCUUAAGGUCCUCUGAACUUGUGCCUUGUCAACUUUACCCUCAAAUAGUGUGAAGGAGAUAUAAAUGUGACUCAUGCCCACCUUAACAACCCUCAUUACUUUUGAGUACAAGCAGCCAGCACCUGGUUGAUACUUCGACGACUGAGGCUAUUUUAAUAUCAUAACAAGAGAAAUUGGCAGUGACGUCAAUCUUACUACACAAUUGUAUUUAUUAGGCAGGAGAAGUUCUAGAGACUCAAUGCUGGUAUUUUGACCCACACACAUCGAACUUCCAUCAAGAUCUAUACCGUGCAGAGAAUUUUUUAAUGGAAUAUUGUUGUUUGAAAUGGUGGUUUUUGGCAAUGAGUAGUUAAAUAUUUGAUUAAAAUAAAAAUCGUUCUCAAGGCAGUGUGUUUUCCAGUGCUGUAUCAAUCCAACAAAUGCAGUACAUGUUUAUAAUAAUUGUCUACGAGGACGCAUUUCUAA